Non-coding RNA from Myotis lucifugus (little brown bat), 70 nucleotides. Lineage: Eukaryota; Metazoa; Chordata; Mammalia; Chiroptera; Vespertilionidae. The record is from Rfam.
AGCCGUGUAGCUCAGUUGGGUAGAGCAUCCCAGUACACCAAGGUUGUGGGUUCGAUCCCCAUCAGGGCAC